GACGAACGCUGGCGGCGUGCUUAACACAUGCAAGUCGAACGGAAAGGCCCUGCUUUUGUGGGGUGCUCGAGUGGCGAACGGGUGAGUAACACGUGAGUAACCUGCCCUUGACUUUGGGAUAACUUCAGGAAACUGGGGCUAAUACCGGAUAGGAGCUCCUGCUGCAUGGUGGGGGUUGGAAAGUUUCGGCGGUUGGGGAUGGACUCGCGGCUUAUCAGCUUGUUGGUGGGGUAGUGGCUUACCAAGGCUUUGACGGGUAGCCGGCCUGAGAGGGUGACCGGCCACAUUGGGACUGAGAUACGGCCCAGACUCCUACGGGAGGCAGCAGCGGGGAAUAUUGCACAAUGGGCGGAAGCCUGAUGCAGCAACGCCGCGUGCGGGAUGACGGCCUUCGGGUUGUAAACCGCUUUCGCCCGUGACGAAGCGUGAGUGACGGUAAUGGGUAAAGAAGCACCGGCUAACUACGUG
RNAcentral lists this ribosomal RNA (468 nucleotides) under uncultured bacterium. RNAcentral's name for it is "partial 16S ribosomal RNA". It matches the Rfam family "Bacterial small subunit ribosomal RNA", at positions 28 to 507 of the family's 1533-position model. The record is from RNAcentral.